This is a small nuclear RNA of Sorex fumeus (smoky shrew), 106 nucleotides long. Lineage: Eukaryota; Metazoa; Chordata; Mammalia; Eulipotyphla; Soricidae. The record is from RefSeq and is a predicted model, not a curated record.
GUUCUCACUUUUACAGCACAUGUACUAAAAAUGGAAUGAUAGAGAGAAAGUUAGUAUGUCCUCUGCAAAGGGAAUCACACUAAUUUGUGAAGUAUUCCUUAAAUUU